Molecule: long non-coding RNA, 818 nt
Organism: Triticum dicoccoides
Lineage: Eukaryota; Viridiplantae; Streptophyta; Magnoliopsida; Poales; Poaceae
Exons: 6
Source: RefSeq, a predicted model, not a curated record
ACGGCACCCUUCGCGAGAAGAUCACCCGGUGGAUUGACGACGACGACGAACGAACCUCGUCCUCAACAUGUGUGAGCGAUUGGCAGCAUCGACACCAGUGGUACGAGUAUGCAUUUCGACAUGGCAAAUUUUGUGUGGAAGAUGCUUAAACAGGUGCAUCUUUGACCAAGUAUAGGACGGGCAGAUGUCGCGAAAGGAAUACUCAUGGUUUCUGAAGACUGACUAUGCUCCCUCGAGUACUACGCAGCAACAAACUCAGGAUAACUCAGUCGAGAACUUUAAAAGAGCAAACAAGAUUCUGGCUUCGGAGUCUGAGCCGGUUCAAAUAUGGGAUUUCUCUGCGCGAACAACCUUCAUAUGGAUGAAUGAAUGGAACCGUAUGCCCCAAGAUCCUCGGUCUAAGAUCCUCGGCCUUCUGACCAGGAGGUGAGGAUGGUGGCAGGAGGAUGUACCUGCGGCGUGAGGAGAUGGGUGCAGGAACAGACGGCCUUGGUGAGCAACACCAUGAGAGGAGAUGGGUGCAGGAACAGACGGCCUUGGUGAGCAACACCAUGAGACGGGAGCAGAGGUUGCUGGUUCCGGCGUGGCCGGACUGGUUCCGUUCCGGCGGAUGUGGCCGGAGGGCGAGUAUGGGUCCAGCGAGAGGAAAAACUGACGUUCCUGGUGACGUGCGAUGACGGCUCGAUGGAGCUUCCGCACUUGUUUCUUUGUUUGGUUUGGCUGGGACGUGUCUUUUUUUUGGUUUGUUUUUUUGGUCAAUGCAUGGAGUACUGUUGUUUUUCUUUGGCCGGUGCGUGAUCGUGGUACUGUUGUUUUUC